UAAACAUGGCGGCGUCUGUGUCUUUAAUCUAUCAUGUGACUUCUCGAUAUGAGUGGUGAUUGGCUAAUGAAUUCUAUAUUCGGCCGAAUGCUUCGGCGAAGCGAACACACCAGGCGAAUAUAAUUGAUUCGGGCGAAUUAUUCGGCCGAAUGACAGUGGACACCGAAUCAUUCGGCUAGUGUGUCCACCGCCUAACCAUUUGUCCAUCCGACCCUCCGCCAGUGCGUUACCAGGGAGUUUUGUCUGGACAGGAGUGCUAAGGCCUACUCUUAUAUUGAAUUCCAACUGCAAGGGGAUCUUUAAGUGCAUGCCAAUGUGUACAUGGGACCUCAGAGAGAAUGAAAUGGCAUUUAUCAUCAACUCGACACAAACUAGGUCAUUUCUGGACUAACAUAUAUAGUUUAAUUUUAUUUCAAUAAUUCGCGUGCCCGUAGGGGUCUUUAGCAGUGGGAGGAAACUGGAGGACCCAGAGAAACCCAUGAAGUUUGACAGGCGACCUUACUCCUUGUCAUGUACAACCAGGAAAUCGAAACCACGCCAGUUGACUCAAUCAUACCUUAUGAUACAACGCGCACACGCUAACCAUUUGGCCAUCCAACCUCGCGCCAGUGUGCUACAAGGGAGUUUUGUUUGGACAGCAGUGCUCAGGCCUACUCUUAUAUUGAAUUCCAACUGCCAGGGGAUCUUUUAUGUACAUGCCAAUGUGUACAUAAGACCUCAGUUUUUCGUCCCAUCCAAACGACUAGACAGCUGUCCUUGUCAAGCCCUCCGUCCUGCACCACUGACAAGCGGAAACCACAUCGGAAAAUUCUGAUGAGCUUUCUCAGGCAACACUGUGAGCGAACCUGUGACCUCCAAGCAAGCCAGCCAGUGUCUUAUUCACUUAGCCACUGUGGCAAAGGGGUCAUAAAUAUAAUUCCACAAAAAAACCUGUGCAGUUCACAAACACAUUCUCCUUACUAUUCGAGUCUCUGUGACUACAACAACUACUCGAAAGUAGUGCGAACUGUAAAUUUUAUUUUGUUAAACCAUCGUAAGAAAAGGAACAUAUUGAAUAUGCUUGUCAAUAUUCUUUCUCUGUCAGAGCAGCUAAAAGGUGAAAUUGUCUUCCAAAAACUCUUUGUGAGUCCUCUUCCAUCCAAAACUUAAAAAAAAAUUAUUUCAAAAAUGGUGUUGAGAGAGAGAGAGAGAAAUGGGGUUUAACAAGAGAGAGAGAGACAGAGAGAGAGAGAGAAAUGGGGUUUAACGUCCACUUGACACAAACUAGGUCAUUCGGGACUAACAUAUAGUUUAAUUUUAUUUCAAUAAUUUGCUUGCGCGUAGGGGUCUUUGGCAGUGGGAGGACCCGGAGAAAACCCAUGAGGUUGGACAGGCGACCCUACUCCUUGUCACGUAUAACCGGGGAUUCGAAACCACGCCAGUUGACUAAAUGACAGGUCGUCACCAUUCGGCCAUCCAACCCCCCAAAAAUGGUGUUGAAAUGGGUGUUUUUGUGAAUGCGCUUAGAAAUACUCAUGUGUAAUGAAGUGCUAUAAUUGAACCAUAAUAAUAAUAUAGUAGGCCUAGUGGACUCCUCCGUCUCAUUUUGGUUGAAUGUUUGGAAAUUUGAUGGCUAAUUAGAUUUAGGACACUCUGGCAUAUUUUCUAGACUUGGCUUCAUGUGGCCUGUUUUCCAUGCAUACAAGAAUUAACCAAUUAGAAGUUAAACAAAAUAAAAUCUGCUCCAAAAUAUUACAAUACUUUUUUUUAUUUCAUUGCCCAAAACACCUUUACAGCCUGAAUGUUAAUUUUGGGGCAGCGUUUAACUGCAUGGGUGGUAAUUGAAUUUAUUAAAUUGACUAACUUUUGCACAAUAAGUAAAUAUAAAUUAUCUUAAUACCCCAACUCAGACAAGUUAGUGGCCUUUCAAACCAAUUUAAAUUCGGUCAAAAUUUGUAGAAAUUUAGAUAUUAUUUUAUUGCAUGUGUGUACAAUUUGUUAUGUGUCUAAGCUCUGUUACCACAAAAAAUAUAUUUAAUUUAGUCCUUAUAGUAGAUUCUAUCACACGUUUGAAAGUUGUCCAACGGUCGAAUAAAUAUGUUGUAGUUUGACCUAGAUAAAUAUAAGACUGGGAAAAUAAAUAUAAAAAAAAUUCCGACAUCUUAAAAGUAGAUACCUAUAUUCGCAAUGGAAAUAUUAUUUUAAAAAUCGGGAUUAUUUAAUUUGAUACAACUGAAUAAAAUGGCUCUAGUCGAUCUAUUUAAAAAAACAUCAACCAAAUAUACGAGUUGGGCAACUGCCAGUGCAGUACUGCAUCCGUCGUGAUCCGAAUAAAGCUGUACGUAUGUAUAUUAUAUCAUGUGCAUGCUUAAAAAAAGGCCUCUGAAUCAUAUAAUAAUUUCUUCAAUUUUACUAUUCAUAAGCCUAAAAUAUUACGUAGUUAUAGACUAUAUAUAAAAUAUUGAAGUGCGUAGGCCUACAGUUGAUAGUCGCAUAGACUCCGUUAUCUACGUAUAUGAUAUAUGCCGCCAUUUUGGGUCAAGGUCAAGAUAAAUUACAGUCAAUACAAAUGAAUAACUACAUCGAUAGAUUAUUAAAUGUAAUUUCUAUUAACUGAUUUCAAUGUUAGGUGGUCUAUGUUUGUUGUCUUUUUCAGUAUAUUGUCCACAUUGAUUAAACUAUCAUUAUUAAAAUCAUUUUGAUUCUUCUAUAUUUGUACGUACUUUUUUACAACUCUGAACCCGGAAGCGAGGUAUUCUGGGAAGGUUAUUUUAAAGAUGGCGGGCGUUUUGGAAUUUAUUCGUGGAGUGCAUGAGAAAUGUUCAAUAUACAGCUACUUGGAUUACACAAACAGAGAAAGAUAGAUUAUACCAGUUAAAUUGAGAGGUUUUAUUUGAAAACCCUAUAUUUGAGCACCAUUCAUGGCAGUCAUGUCGAGGAAGUUAUAAAAAGGCUGAUAAGGGCUUUGUAUAUGGAAGCUAGAUGACAUUACUACUUAUCAUACACAACUAUUUGUCACAUACCGACUUGGGAUUGAAACCAAGCGACUGAACUCAAUAACAUUCCUCAAUAACACUCGUCUAUGAAACCACCCAGAUGGCAAAGAAAUAAAGACUUUUUAAUUAUGUACCGAACUCAUAUAUGUAUCUAUGGUAGCACAAAAUUCACCAGAAUGUAGGCCAAAGCUUUACUUUACAAGCAGUAGGCUUAAAAUAUUUUCCGUCUGAUCUUGUAAGAGUCAAUUGUUUAUGAAUAGUUUGCCUCAAGCAGAUAUCCUGUCACUGUGUCACAGUAUCAUAUAACCGCUCUUUGGCUUGAACUGAGUUGUAUCAGUGAGUUGAAAAUCUACUGCAGCCAGUACAUGUAUAUUAGAUUCAAAAUUCUAACGAGCUUUCGUCUAACUUCUAACUUCUGUUCAUGUAUUUUUUAACUUCUAUUCAUGUAAUUUCUAACUUCUAUUCAUGUAUUUUGUUAAAUUAAGACAAUGUAUAAUCCAACUUCUUUAUUUGUUCAGUGUAAAUUUUAAUUCUAUUCCAUCUUAUUUCUAUUAUUUAGACGAAAAACGUCUUCUUAAUUUUUACACUUCUGCCUAGCAACCAUCAUUAUGAAGUCAUUUGGUGUCGCCACUGCGUGCUCAUUUUUGGUGAUUGCGCACCUGGUCGGGACCAUUGUGUUGAUAUAAACGACACAUUCUUGAUAAAGACGAGAGUGUCCUCGUCGAAACGUUGCUUUAUAUUAAACUCAGUAAGAGUUAUCUAUAAAAUUGUACCCUGUGUUAAUGUAGACCAACAGUAUAUAAAUAUUAAUUGGCUCAACUUGUCUUAAAAAAAAUGAACAAAUGCUGUUUAGCUUGUAUUUGAAAUAGAAAAUGAAAUAUAAUGGGGUUUAACAUCCUACUAUUCUACUCCGAACUUGGCUAAUACGCCAUACAGUGUGCUACGAAGGAAACUUUGCCCGGACAGCGGCACUACGGAACGAUUAGACAGCUGUACUUGUUAGGCCCUCCAUCCUGCAUCACUGACAAGGAGGAACCAUGCCGGAAAAUCUGGAUGAACUUUCUUGACCAAUGCAGGGAUCGAACACCCUACCGCUAGGCUAGUGAGCCAGCGUCUUACCGACCAUAUUUGAAAUCGUAUUUGCAAACCAUACAUAGAUAUCACGUUCAAUGUUGUUUGUGGGGUUGGACGGCCGAAAGGUUAGCACGUGCGCGCUGUACCAUAAGGUAUGUCAUUGAGUCAACUGGUGUGGUUUCGAUUCCCCGGUUGUACGUGACAAGGAAUAGGGUCGCCUUUCCAACCUAGUGGGUUUUCUCCGGGUCCUCCGGUUUCCUCCCAUUGCUAAACACCCCUACGCGCAAGCGAAUUAUUGAAAUAAAAUUGAACCAUGUUAAUACCGAACCUACAUGUAGUUUGUGUUGAGUGGACGUUUAACCCCAUCAGACUCUCUCUCUCUCGCUCUCUCUCUCGAAGUUGUUUUCAAUUUUAGCACUCCACCAAACCAUUCAACUGGACUAAGAGCGAGUCAUUUGUAUCAACAGAAUGGUCCCGAUCAGGUGCUCAAUCGCCAAAUUGAGCGAACGGUGGCGACACCAAACGACGUCAUAAUGAUGGUUGCUAGGUAGAAAUCAAAAUUCUAAAUUUGUUUACCAUUCAUGCUUAACAUGUAAAGUGACUAGACAUUUUUCGCCUUAAUAAUAGAAAUAAGAUGAAACAAUUAAAAUUUACACUGAACAAAAAAAGAAGUUGAAUUAUACAUUGUCUUAAUUUAGAAAUUACAUGAAUGGAAGUUAGAAAUUACAAGAGUAGAAGUAAGAAAUUAGACGAUAGCAUGUUAGAAUUUUGAAUCUAAUAUACCGCCAUAGUAUACGGGGAAACUUUUUAAACCCUUACAAAUUCUUCAAAUUUUUGUGAUAGAUCAAUAAUAGCAAAAAUCUGUGUUAAAAUUAUA
Long non-coding RNA from Patella vulgata (common limpet), 4926 nucleotides. RefSeq lists it as uncharacterized. The record is from RefSeq and is a predicted model, not a curated record. The transcript is spliced from 2 exons. Lineage: Eukaryota; Metazoa; Mollusca; Gastropoda; Patellidae.